GAUGAAGAACGCAGCGAAAUGCGAUAAGUAAUGUGAAUUGCAGAAUUCAGUGAAUCAUCGAAUCUUUGAACGCACAUUGCGCCCAUUAGUAUUCUAGUGGGCAUGUCUGUUCGAGCGUCAUUUCAACCCUUAAGCCUCUGUUGCUUAGCGUUGGGAGCCUACCUACCCGGUAGAUCCUCAAAGUUAGCUGGCAGGGUCGAGGUUCGCCCUAAGCGUAGUAGUUCUUUCUCGCUUCUGCGGCUGCCUAGGCCAUCGCCACAAGCCUUUUAAACUUCAAUGGUUGACCUCGGAUCAGGUAGGAAUACCCGCUGAACUUAAGCAUAUCAAUAAGCGGAGGA
This 338-nucleotide unclassified non-coding RNA is filed under the name soil metagenome. RNAcentral's name for it is "partial contains 5.8S ribosomal RNA, internal transcribed spacer 2, and large subunit ribosomal RNA". The stretch from base 1 to 120 matches the Rfam family "5.8S ribosomal RNA", at positions 35 to 154 of the family's 154-position model. The record is from RNAcentral.